Molecule: ribosomal RNA, 253 nt
Filed under: uncultured bacterium
Lineage: Bacteria
Description: partial 16S ribosomal RNA
Rfam family: Bacterial small subunit ribosomal RNA
Source: RNAcentral
UACAGAGGUGGCAAGCGUUGUUCGGAAUUACUGGGCGUAAAGGGCGCGUAGGCGGCCUUCUAAGUCAGACGUGAAAUCCCCCGGCUUAACCUGGGAACUGCGUCUGAUACUGGAGGGCUUGAGUAUGGGAGAGGGAUGUAGAAUUCCAGGUGUAGCGGUGAAAUGCGUAGAUAUCUGGAGGAAUACCGGUGGCGAAGGCGGCAUCCUGGACCAUUACUGACGCUGAGGCACGAAAGCUAGGGGAGCAAACAGG